GUAAUCCCAACUGUCUCCUUAUUUUUUAUCUCUUUUCUCUCCUAUUUUACCCGAGGAUUCGAAUCUCAUCUCUAAACAGAUCGAUAUCUUUUCUCCUCUUUUAAUACAAAUAUUUGUCGCCCACCUCCUUUUGGUGUUUUGAUCCUUGUGUUUUUUAUAUGGCAGGUAUGAUAUACUUUUCUGGGGCUCUCUACUAUUCUUGCCUUCUUGUCUUCUUUGUCUUUUUCAUGAAAUUUUUCAUAUCUUUUUUUAUGAAAAUUCCGUAAAUCAUAUUUUUAAAUUAAUUAUUUACAUCUUCUACUUUUAUUUAUUUACUCAUUACCUAUAUCAUAUUUAUCUAUGAACUAUUUCUUUUAUUAAUUAAUUGAAAAAGUCAUUACCCUUGAGUUCUUCAAACAAAUGGUUCAUUUGUUGUAAUAGAUUGGUCAUCUGUCGGAAGAACUGAAAAACAGGAUUGAGUUCUUCCAAUAGAUGGAUCAUUUAUUAGAACAGAUUGGUCAUCUAUUGGGAAAACUUAAAAAGCUUAGUACUAUUGGUGUUAUUUGUUUGCUUGUUGUUGGUUUUGUUAUUUGUUUUUGGUUUUUGAUGUUGCAUGUGUUAUUUGUAUUGUUGGUGUUGGUGGCGGUAGUAUUGAUGGUGUUGGAGUUAAAACAGGUGGAACAUAUGGUGGAAGAUAUUAAAAUAGGUCUUUCAAGAGAUUCUCCAUCUGUUUCAACUGAUGAAUCAACUGUUGGAAUAAAUGAAAAUAGCUCUUCCAAUAGAUGACCCAUCUAUUGCAAUAGAUAGAUCACCUAUUGGAAGAAAUCAAACCAUUAGCAAGACUGUCUUGAUUUCUUCCAAUAGAUGACUCAUCUAUUGCAACAUGUUGGUCAUUAGUUGCAACAAAUGGGUCAUCUAUUGAAAUUCUUAUUAUAAUGUAUUGUAUUAUAAUAAUUUUUUUGUUUUUCUCUUUUUUAUAGAUAAAAGAUAUCCUCGAAAAGAAAAGGAAGUGAAAGUAUAUCAACUAUUGCCCGACCAACAUAAAAGGGUAGAGUAAGAUGGGUUUAGAGGAAUAAGAUGCUUGUAAAUAGAUCCACUUUAAUGUGGCAGGUUGUACUACUAAUCAGGUUAUCAUGAAAACCCACAUAAAGUACAAUGAUUUUAAUAAUAUUAUUUUUCACCAAUUAGGCAUUGAUCAUUGUAACAAGAUAUUACAUUUUACAGUUAAGUUUGACAGGUUCGAACUAAUAAGGAAGACGGACCUAGAAGGCGGUGUCGAUACCCUGUUACAGUUUAAUGAUGAUUUUUCUAAUGUUCAUGUGUCAAGUUCGGAGAAGGGAUCAAGUUUUGGUGGCAGUGUACAGAUUCAAUAGUGAUUGGACUGAUUUUAAGGGUUCAAUGGACUUUUGAAAGGCCUCUAAAUCCUCUCACUGCUACAAACAAGAAUGAAAAUCCCAUAGAAAUUACCAUAGUCCAAAUUUAUAUAGAUGGUUGCUCAGGGUGAUGAUUAUACAAUAGAAGGUGCUUGGUAUAAUAUCUACAAGAGAAGAGAGAGAUAUUGAAGACUGUCUUAACUCAGACCUUAUUAAAAAAACAUAGGUAGCAAAGAACUUGUAGCAAAUCUGGCUAAUGAAACUGACAUAAAAAAUGAAAAAAUUGAAUGAACAUAAAAAAUGAAAGUAUAUUAAAAAAUGAAAAUCCAUCACUCAUUAUUGAAAAUAAAAAUGGAAAAGUGGAAUGUAGUUGUGCACUUUGCAAGGAACUGCGACUAGUUAGCAUGGUCUGAAAUGAUCACAUCCAAAGAAAGAAACACAAAUCCAAGAAAGAAGUUUUGCGAGCACNNNNNNNNNNNNNNNNNNNNNNNNNNNNNNNNNNNNUGAAAUAAGGGAUCAAGAAAGGGUGGAAAUUUCUAAAUUUAAACUUUCAUCCUAUACCUUCUAUUUGUGGCUCUGGUCAAGUCAAUUACUGAGGAAACAAAAGGGCAUCGGAUUUCUGCUCAACUUCAGACCUUUUUUUUCCACUGAUAUUAACUUGAUUAGAAUCACAAACAAAAGGCAUAGGAUUCAAGUUUAACUUUAGAAAUUACCACUUUGGCUUGAUCCCUUAUUUAAACUUCAGUAGUUCUUGGUACAAGUUUCAUUCUUGAUUAUAGAUCUUCCCAUCCCUCGGUGCUCACAAAAUGGCUUCCUUGGACUUUUGUUUCUUUCAUUGGAGGUAAUCAUUCAAACCAUGCUAACUAGUUGCUAUUACCAAGAAAAGUGUACAACUACAGUCCACUUUACCAUUCUUCUUUUCAAUAACGACUGACGAUUUUACAUUUUUAGAUACAUUUUCAUAGUUGCAGCUCAUUAGGAUUUUCAUUUUUAAAGUCAAUUUCAUUGGCCAGAUUCACUAUAAGUUCCUUGCUUGCUAUCCUAUAUUUCUUGUUUAAUAAGUAAUGAGUUGGUAUUGUCUUCAACAACUUCACUUUAUCAUACCGAUAUUCUCUUACAACAUGUUCUUCUGUGUAAUCAUCACCCCGAGCAACCCAUCCAUAUAAAUUUAGAACAUGGGAAUUUCUAUUGGUUUUCCAUUCUUGUUUGUUUCACUGGGAGGCUUCGAAGGCCUUCUCAAACUCUAUUACACCAAUAAAACCAGUCCAAUCUCUAUUACAUCUCUACACUACUAUUAAAUAUGGAUCCCUUAUCCAAACUUAAUGCGUAAACAUGAGCAAAGCCUUCAUUAAAUUGUAAUAGAGUAUCAACACCACCUUCUUGGUCCCUCAGCCUUAUCAAUUUAGACCUAUCCAACUUACAUAUAAAAUGCAGGAUCUUAGUUGAAAGAUCAAUGCGUGAUCGGUAAUAAAUAAUAUUCAAAAAAUCAUUCUACUUUAUGUGUGGUGUUAUGAUAACCUGAUCAGUAAUACAUACCUUCCACAUAUGAAAAUAGAUCCAUCUAUUUGCAUACACCUUAUUCUUCCUACCCCAUCAACGUCAAAUAGUGUUUUAUCUUCAAUUCCCAUCAUGAAGUAUUGUAAGAAACUGUAGAGGCUCAAAGGGAAACAAUCUUCAAAACCUUUCUUCUUAAUCUUCUAGGAAGGGUAACAAUAUUCUUACAAAAUAAAAACCUGAUUGAGAAACUCUUUCUGCUACUGGAUUGAGUUCUUCCUACAGAUGACCCAUAUGUUGUAACAAAUGGGAAAUCUAUUGGAAGAACUCAAACCAAUAUAAAAGGUUUUAAGUUCUCUAACAGAUGACCAAUCUUUUACAAUAGAUAGCUCGUUUGUUAAACAUAUGGAUCAUCCAUUGCAAUAUAUGGGUCAUCUAUUAAAAGAACUGAAUCCAGGUUUUGUGUUCUUCCAACAGAUGACCAAUCUGUUACAAUAGCUGAAUCAUCUAUUGGAAGAACUCAAUCCUAGCAAGGGGUUUAUUUAUUAAUAAAAUAAAUUAAUUAAAAAGGUGAAAAUUCAUGGUUUUUCAAUUAUUUAAUAAAGACAUAUGGUUCAUAAAUAAAUAAUAAGAAAAAAAAUAAUAAACACAAGUUUAAACCAUAAAAAAUAGUUAAAUUUUAAUAACUAAUGUUGAUAUUAAAAAGGUGAAAAGUCAUGAUUUUUCGCCUUUUUGUAUUUUAAUCCAUUUUUUAAUUUAAAUAAUCAAAAAAUUGCCAGUUUUAUUGAAAUAAGGGAUAUAAUUAUAAAAAAGGAUGUGAACAGUCGUGACUUUUUCCCUAACAAAUUCAAAUUCAAUAAUCUAUAAAUAGGAUCAUACACAUUCAUUAUCCUCCACUUUAUUUAUUCCUUGCAUCCUGUCAUUUAUAAAACACAUACCAUUACAUCUUCAACAACUUCUCUUUCAAAAGAAAAUUCCUUUUUUGUCCGUUGAGGUAUGAUGUAUUUUAUUGUUCUAACAUGAAAACUAUUAACGUGUUAUGAUUUUUCAUAAAACUACCAGUUGGUAGUAUGCAUUGUAAUACAUUCAGACUCUUUUUUCUUCUUUAGUGUUUUAUAUUUUUCUUAAUGCAUACAAUUUCUAGAUAUAGCAGAUCUGAUUUUGGACAUGACGAUUUUGCUCAACACCAUAGGGAAAUUUGGAAGUUUGUUUUAUGAACUUCGAUGGGAUUUGGGUGUACGAGAGCAAAGGUGUUUUUUGUGAUUUAAAGGUUGAGGUCCCUACUGCUGCCUAAUUGAUUUUCGAUUGACAAUAAUUAUAAUAAUAAUAAUUAGGUUAUGGUUUUUUUAUCAUAUGUAUUUUUCUAUUUAUAUCAGAUCUACAUAAUGCAUGUCUUGUUUUACUUGGUUUUGUAUUCUAUAUGUAAUGAAUGAAAAAAUUUAUGUUUGGUCAACUUUGACUUUAUUUCUUAUUUAAUUUUUAGUUGUGUCU
This 4337-nucleotide long non-coding RNA is filed under the name Capsicum annuum. RNAcentral describes it as "long non-coding RNA (CANN_LNC011258)". The record is from RNAcentral. Lineage: Eukaryota; Viridiplantae; Streptophyta; Magnoliopsida; Solanales; Solanaceae.